AGCCGGUCCCGGGAGCAGCUGGCCGGCCAGUGUUUCCCGGGCGCAGGGCUCAGGGCGCAGCCUGUGCUUCCGAGACAACUGCAGAGUAGGGCGGCUCGGGCUAACCUGCUCCCUCGCCCGGCCCGUCGCCGCCACCGCCACCGCCAAGCGCGGUGUCGCGAGUGCCGGAAUACACUCGAUUACAAUUACUACACUUGCAGAGUCUGGAGUAAAAAAGACCGACUGACACGCCCUCUCCACUGCGGUCCAGCCUUCAGAGGCAACAGAAUAAAGUGACUUGGAAGCCGACUCUUCUGUGAAGCUGACUGACUUAGACAUGAGUGUAGUUGAAGGGUUUGGGCAGCCGCAGCUGCAGACCAGCUGGGCUGUGGUCAGUGAACAUAGCCUCCCGUCCCACAACAGCUCCCACAGAAGCCAGGCCUGGACAAUCUAGAGGCCUUGGGAACCAGCUGGCAGGUUCCAUUGCCUUCGUGGUGAUCUGGAUGGUGGGGAGGCUUGCUGGCUUCUUAUUCUUCUGGCCCGGGGGGCAGAUCCCUUUGGGUUUUAUUUUGCAAUCAUCUACUGAGUUCCUUCCCUACAACA
Microtus oregoni (creeping vole) is the source of this 582-nucleotide long non-coding RNA. RefSeq lists it as uncharacterized. The record is from RefSeq and is a predicted model, not a curated record. Lineage: Eukaryota; Metazoa; Chordata; Mammalia; Rodentia; Cricetidae. The transcript is spliced from 3 exons.